GCUCCAAUAGUGUAUAUUAAAGUUGUUGCAGUUAAAAAGCUCGUAGUCGAAUGUAGGGUUAUAAACGCUGAGAUGUCUUUUAGGAGACGAUUUUUGGCGUCAUAACUCUUUUUUACCGACCAAAAUUUGAUUAACUAAUCAGAUCGUGGGUGCCGGUAAUAUUUACUGUGAAUAAAUCAGAGUGUUCAUGGCAGGCCGUA
Molecule: ribosomal RNA, 200 nt
Filed under: uncultured eukaryote
Lineage: Eukaryota
Description: partial 18S ribosomal RNA
Rfam family: Eukaryotic small subunit ribosomal RNA
Source: RNAcentral